ACGCACAGGUAUCUUGUGAAAUCCCACGGCUCAACCGUGGAAUCGCUUGGUAAACCGUGUGUCUUGAGCACGACAGGGGCCGUCGGAACGGUAGGUGGAGCGGUGAAAUGCGUAGAUAUCUACCGGAACGCCAAAGGGGAAGCCAGACGGCUGGGUCGUCGCUGACGCUCAGGCACGAAAGCAUGGGUAGCGAACGGGAUUAGAUACCCCGGUAGUCCAUGCCCUAAACGAUGUGUACUAGGUCGAGGAGGUUUUGACGCCAUCUCGGCCGCAGCGAAAGCAUUAAGUACACCGCCUGGGGAGUACGGUCGCAAGGCUAAAACUCAAAGGAAUUGACGGGGGCUCACACAAGCGGUGGAGCAUGUGGCUUAAUUCGAGGCAACGCGAAGAACCUUAUCCUGGGUUUGACAUGGACGGAUUAGGCCCCCGAAAGGGGGUUCGACGCUCUCACGAGUGGAACGUUCACAGGUGCUGCAUGGCUGUCGUCAGCUCGUGCUGUGAAGUGUCGGGUUAAGUCCCUUAACGAGCGAAACCCCUGCCGUUAGUUGCCAGCAUUCAGUUGGGGACUCUAACGGGACCGCCGGUGUCAAACCGGAGGAAGGUGGGGACGACGUCAAGUCAUCAUGGCCUUUAUGCCCAGGGCUGCACACGUGCUACAAUGGUAUGGACAGAGCGAAGCGAUACGGCGACGUGGAGCAAAUCGCACAAACCAUGCCCCAGUUCGGAUUGU
This 730-nucleotide ribosomal RNA is filed under the name uncultured Planctomycetota bacterium. RNAcentral describes it as "bacterial SSU rRNA". It matches the Rfam family "Bacterial small subunit ribosomal RNA", at positions 579 to 1301 of the family's 1533-position model. The record is from RNAcentral. Lineage: Bacteria; Pseudomonadati; Planctomycetota.